This 1021-nucleotide ribosomal RNA is filed under the name uncultured bacterium. Its description in RNAcentral is "bacterial SSU rRNA". It matches the Rfam family "Bacterial small subunit ribosomal RNA", at positions 1 to 1040 of the family's 1533-position model. The record is from RNAcentral.
UGAGUUUGAUCAUGGCUCAGAACGAACGUUGGCGGUGUGCCUAAUACAUGCAAGUCGAGCGAGAAAACCGGGGCAACUCGGUGAGUACAGCGGCGGAAGGGUGCGUAAUACAUGGUUAACGUACCCCCCAGGUCGGGAUAACCCUCCGAAAGGUGGGCUAAUACCGGGUAAUGGCAGCGGGUGGCAUCAUUUGCUGCUUAAAGUCGUAAGACGCUGGGGGAGCGGACCAUGGCUAUCAGCUAGUUGGCGGGGUAACGGCCCACCAAGGCGAUGACGGGUAGCCGGACUGAGAGGUUGAACGGCCACACGGGAACUGAGACACGGUCCCGACAUCUACGGAUGGCAGCAGUAGGGAAUCUUGCACAAUGGGCGAAAGCCUGAUGCAGCGACACCGCGUGGGGGAUGAAGGCCUUCGGGUUGUAAACCCCUUUCAUGAGGGAAGAAUACUGACCUAACCUCAGGAAGAAGCACCGGCUAACUCCGUGCCAGCAGCUGCGGUAAUACGGAGAGUGCAAACGUUGUUCGGAUUCACUGGGCGUAAAGGGCACGUAGGCGGCUCGGCAAAUCGGUUGUGGAAUCUCGACGCUUACCGUCGAAACGGCAGCCGAAAAUACCGGGCUAGAGGGCGUGAGGGGUCACUGGAACUCCUGGUGAAGCGGUGAAAUGCGUAGAUAUCAGGAGGAACGCCGGAGGCGAAAGCGAGUGACUGGCGCGUUCCUGACGCUGAGGUGCGAAAGCUAGGGGAGCAAACAGGAUUAGAUACCCUGGUAGUCCUAGCCGUAAACGAUGGACACUGAGUGAAGGAGGGCUUGCCCUUCUUUGCUGCAGCUAACGCGUUAAGUGUCCCGCCUGGGGAGUACGGCCGCAAGGUUAAAACUCAAAGGAAUUGACGGGGGCUCGCACAAGCGGUGGAGCAUGUGGUUCAAUUCGAUGCAACGCGAAGAACCUUACCCGGGCUUGAAGUGGAGGUGGUAGGAGCUGGAAACAGCGACGACCCCGCAAGGGGAGCCUUCAUCAGGUG